CAGAAUUACUGAUCAUUUUAUUUCCGUCUUUGCCGAGCUCAGUUGUAUACAAUGAAGUCAGCCGCUGCUAUCAUCACGCUGUGGGCCACCGUCACGCUGCUACUCCAUUACAGCGGAGCGGAGUCUGGCAACCCCGGGGUCGAAUUUGGGCUCAACAAAAUCAACACGGGAAACGGCAUAGUCAAAUCUGGGAGUGACGCCGACAGGCCGACACGGAAAAAGCGCUCGAGUAUGAAUAUAAUGGGAAAUCAGGAAAUCUUCGCGACAGCGCGACAGGAAAUCUUUGGGAAAUCAGCGCGACAGGAAAUCUUCGGGAAAUCAGCGCGAAAGGAAAUCGUCCCAACCCGGUAGUGGAAUAAUAGUUCAGGUUGAUCUUCCUGGUCGCGGAACUUCCCGGAUGAUCGCGUCAAACGCAUCGAAUGCAGACCAGAAAAGCACAAACAGUUUUUACGGCAGCGAUUCAGAGAUGAAGUUCAAUAUAGCAGUCCUGCCUGUAUUAUCAGCAUAAUCGUAUCUCACCAAGAAUUUGAAGCGCUGUUUUUUGAUUUUUUUCGAACUAUACUUGCGUAUAAGCGUGCAAGUAUGACUUCGUCAAUAUAAUAAUUAUGGUCUCUUUACCUUUAUGUAUUUGCCAGAUAUUACCGUAUCGAUUUUUUACGUGUAUUUACCAUUCUGAUUCCCCGGGAUUAAUACUACCCAUCACUUAACAGCAAAAUGAAAGAAGAGCCUGGAAAUGACAAAUCAGACGCUGGCAUUCACAAAAGCGAAGACGUUGUCCGGCUGGUCGAUCCAGAGAGUCUCCAGUUUGAUAGUGACCUUACCCGAAAAAUCCGCAAAGGUGCAUGGUUGACUAACUGCUUCACUGUCGCCAGCCUGAUUCUGUUCGCAGCCAGAGUCUACAUAAUCAUCGCAACUCCUGUGUUGAACAGAGAUGAUGAUUUGGAAUACAGUAUGGUAUGCGGAAUGUGGAAUUUUUGCGGAAUAAGACUGAGGAAGUGCGAAUUAUUCUGACGGAUUCGAUCAUGAUUUGAUGCUAAUUCCAUCGACCAGCGUUUUCUUGUUCAUCGUUGCGGCAGAAAUGGCAGCGCUCUUGAUUCUGGCUCGUGUUCGGGGUUUGUGCAGUGGUUUACAGUGGCCAACAGAUUCACCCAAAUUCACCAUUGACAUUGCAGCAUUGUGCGAUAGCUGUAGAAGCGUAAAGGCCUUUUUUGGAGGAGCCCAGAUAUUGAUGUCAGUUGUGCAAAUUGCGUGGGUGUUCUGUCCGGUAUAUUUCUUUUACGAAGAAAUGGAGUACAGUGGAACGAACCUAUUCCAACCACAUCCCGAGAAUUUCGCGCCAGUACUGCUUGUAGAGUGCAUUACCAUCCUCGUCUCGAUCAAAUGCUCUAAUCUGGCGCAGAAGGUGGAAGAUAAUAUCAUGUAUUACUGGUAUUACCGGACAGCCGCAAAUAGCAAGCCAUGCUCGUUUCCAUCGCGUAAAGAAAUUGCGAAGCUUCUGUUGGAUGAAGAAAUCAGAAUUAUGGAGUCAGACGACACAAUCAUCUUGUAGCGCAGCUUUUAGUAAAGCCAGCGAAUUUUCAUGUUACUCGGUUACCAGAUUUAUAUUAGACGAGUGGUAAGCGGCCGGCAUUCACCAGCCGCGAGCAUUGUGUGA
Paramacrobiotus metropolitanus is the source of this 1654-nucleotide RNA transcript. RefSeq lists it as uncharacterized. The record is from RefSeq and is a predicted model, not a curated record. Lineage: Eukaryota; Metazoa; Tardigrada; Eutardigrada; Parachela; Macrobiotidae. The transcript has 4 exons.